This 345-nucleotide small RNA is filed under the name Pongo abelii (Sumatran orangutan). RNAcentral describes it as "processed transcript". The record is from RNAcentral. Lineage: Eukaryota; Metazoa; Chordata; Mammalia; Primates; Hominidae.
CCGGCAAGCUGGAAGGAGGGGCGGCUUCCGGGAGCCCCGCCCCUCCGCGCCCCGCCCCGCCGGCCACGCCCCCGGGCGCACCGAAGUCCCCACAGAGACCACCUAUCACACGCUGGAGGAGGGCGUGGUGGAGUACUGCACGGCUGAGGCGCCCCCACCUCUGCCACCGGAGGCCCCUGUGGACAUGAUGGCCCAGCACGCAGACACGUCGGUCAAGCCGCAAGCGCUCAAGAGCCGCAUUGCUCUCAACUCCGCCAAGCUGAUACAGGAGCAGCGGGUCACCAACCUGCAUGUGAAGGAGAUCGCACAGCACCUGGAACAGCAGAACGACCUACUGCAGAUGAU